CCUACGGGAGGCAGCAGUGAGGAAUAUUGGUCAAUGGGCGAGAGCCUGAACCAGCCACGCCGCGUGAAGGAUGAAGGAUCUCUGUUUGGUAAGCUUCAUUUAUAUGGGAGUAAAGUAAGGAACGUGUUCCUUUUUGUAUGUACCAUUUGAAUAAGCAUCCGCUAACUCCGUGCAAGCAGCCGCGGUAAUACGGAGGAUGCGAGCGUUAUCCGGAUUUAGUGGGUGUAAGGGGUGCGUAGGUGGUUAUUUAAGUCAGCGGUGAAUGUUUGUGGUUAAACCAUAAAAUUGCCGUUGAAACUGGUUGACUUGAGUAUAUUUGGGGUAGGCGGAAUGCGUGGUGUAGCGGUGAAAUGCAUAGAUAUCACGCAGAACUCCGAGUGCGAAGGCAGCUUACUAAACUAUAACUGACACUGAAGCACGAAAGCGUGGGGAUCAAACAGGAUUAGAUACCCGAGUAGUC
Molecule: ribosomal RNA, 460 nt
Filed under: uncultured bacterium
Lineage: Bacteria
Description: partial 16S ribosomal RNA
Rfam family: Bacterial small subunit ribosomal RNA
Source: RNAcentral